This 107-nucleotide small nuclear RNA is filed under the name Neogale vison (American mink). The record is from RNAcentral. Lineage: Eukaryota; Metazoa; Chordata; Mammalia; Carnivora; Mustelidae.
GUGUUCACUUCGGCAGCACAUAUACUAAAAUUGGAAAGAUACAGAGAAGAUUAGCAUGGCCCCUGCACGAGGAUGACAUGCAAAUUCAUGAAGCAUUCCAUAUUUAA